This 253-nucleotide ribosomal RNA is filed under the name uncultured bacterium. Its description in RNAcentral is "partial 16S ribosomal RNA". It matches the Rfam family "Bacterial small subunit ribosomal RNA", at positions 524 to 776 of the family's 1533-position model. The record is from RNAcentral.
UACAGAGGUCCCAAGCGUUGUUCGGAUUCAUUGGGCGUAAAGGGCGCGUAGGCGGCGUCGUAAGUCGGGUGUGAAAUCUCGGGGCUUAACUCCGAAACUGCAUUCGAUACUGCGGUGCUUGAGGACUGGAGAGGAGACUGGAAUUUACGGUGUAGCAGUGAAAUGCGUAGAGAUCGUAAGGAAGACCAGUGGCGAAGGCGGGUCUCUGGACAGUUCCUGACAUUGAGGCACGAAGGCCAGGGGAGCAAACGGG